Molecule: non-coding RNA, 1918 nt
Organism: Theobroma cacao (cacao)
Lineage: Eukaryota; Viridiplantae; Streptophyta; Magnoliopsida; Malvales; Malvaceae
Source: RefSeq, a predicted model, not a curated record
GAAAGAACGGAUCCUUCCUACAACACCAAAAAAGUUUCUACGGGAGUUCCGAAACCAGCGGUUUCGGAAAUGUGGCGAAGAGGCUUUACCAGCAGCUACACGGCUGGUGCGCAAGCACUAAAGGAGAAGAAAUGGGACGCAUUGGUGAUCGGCGGUGGGCAUAAUGGCUUGACAGCCGCGGCUUACUUGGCUCGUGGCGGCUUAUCCGUUGCCGUGAUCGAGCGACGCCACGUCAUCGGUGGGGCAGCCGUAACCGAAGAAAUUAUUCCUGGCUUCAAAUUCUCUCGCUGCAGCUACCUCCAAAGCCUCCUCCGCCCCUCCGUUAUCAGAGAGCUAGAAUUAAAGAGGCAUGGCUUGAAGUUGUUGAAGCCGACAGCGACGUCGUUUACGCCAUGUCUUGAUGGGCGUUACCUUCUAAUGGGGUACGAUGAUCAUCAUAACUACUUGGAGAUAUCAAAGUUUUCCAAACGUGACGCGGACGCUUAUCCUAGAUAUGAAAAUCAGCUAUAUAAGUUCUGUAAAUUGAUGGACUUUCUUUUGGAUUCACGUACCCCUGAAACCUUGCACUGGGAUUCAUCAUUUACUGAUCGUCUGUGGGAUAAGUUAGAAAAAUCGGUGUUUUGGGCUUCCUGCCUGAGGCAUAUUUUCGCUUUGGGGCAAAAGGAUAUGGUGGAUUUUAUGGACCUUUUAUUGUCCCCUACAUCAAAGGUUCUAAAUAAGUGGUUUGAGAGUGAUAUACUGAAGGCAGUACUUGCUGGAGAUGCUAUUAUUGGAAGUAUGGCAAGCAUUCAUACACCUGGCAGUGGAUAUGUUCUACUACAUCAUGUGAUGGGUGAAACUGAUGGUGAUCGUAAUAUAUGGUUGCAUGUUGAAGGUGGGAUGGGCUCUAUAUCCAUGGCCAUAAGUAAUGCUGCAAGCGAAGCUGGGGUUUCUAUUGCGACAAACGCAGAAGUGUCACAAUUAAUGAUUGGAGAUUCUGGUACAGUAAAAGGGGUGUUGCUAGCUGAUGGGACAAGAGUACAUUCUUCAGUUGUUCUAUCGAAUGCAACCCCUUACAAGACCUUCCUGGGAUUGGUGCCUCAAGAUGUUCUUCCUGAUGAUUUUCUCCGUGCUAUCAAGUACUCUGACUACAACUCUGGAACCACAAAAAUCAAUGUAGCUGUUGAUAAAUUGCCCCAGUUCCAUUGUUGCAGAUCAAAUAAUCCAGAAGGGGGUCCUCAGCAUACAGCUACUAUUCACAUUGGUUCUGAAAGCAUGGAGGAGAUAGGAUCAGCUUGUCAGGAAGCUUGGAAUGGCUUACCUUCAAAACGGCCUGUUAUGGAGAUGACAAUUCCUUCUUCACUGGACAAGACUAUUUCUCCUCCUGGGGGAGCUUAUUGGAGAGGGACAACGUACGAUUAUCAGUUGAUAAAGAAUUUAAUGUUAUCGAAAGCAUGUGGUUAGCUUGUUCACCCAAUACACACCUUAUAAACCCUCCGAUGGUAGUUGGGAAAAUCCUACAUACCGAGAAUCAUAUGCACAGAGAUGCUUUAGCUUGAUUGAUGAAUAUGCUCCUGGCUUCAGCUCAUCGGUUAUUGGUUAUGACAUGCUGACACCACCUGAUCUUGAAAGAGAAUUUGGUCUAACAGGAGGAAACAUUUUCCAUGGUGCCAUGGGACUGGACUCACUCUUCUUGAUGAGACCUGCGAAAGGAUGGUCUGGUUACAGGACACCCAUAAGAGGGCUGUACCUCUGUGGAAGUGGAGCACAUCCUGGUGGUGGAGUGAUGGGUGCAGCCGGACGUAAUGCUGCACGCAUUGUCCUUAGGGAUUUUAAGAAGCAUUCUUCUUAGGAAUUUUGUUAUGCUCUAACCUUUUUCGGGUGCUCAUAGUCUCAAACUUAAAUGAAAAGCUAAUUAAAGCUUAAAAUUUCUUGCUCA